This 452-nucleotide ribosomal RNA is filed under the name uncultured bacterium. Its description in RNAcentral is "bacterial SSU rRNA". It matches the Rfam family "Bacterial small subunit ribosomal RNA", at positions 349 to 793 of the family's 1533-position model. The record is from RNAcentral.
CAGCAGUGGGGAAUAUUGCACAAUGGGGGAAACCCCUGAUGCAGCCAUGCCGCGUGUGUGAAGAAGGCCUUCGGGUUGUAAAGCACUUUCAGUAGGGAGGAAGGUAGUGUAGUUAACACCUGCACUAUUUGACGUUACCUACAGAAGAAGCACCGGCUAACUCCGUGCCAGCAGCCGCGGUAAUACGGAGGGUGCGAGCGUUAAUCGGAAUUACUGGGCGUAAAGCGCAUGCAGGCGGCCUGUUAAGUCAGAUGUGAAAGCCCGGGGCUUAACCUCGGAAUUGCAUUUGAAACUGGCAGGCUAGAGUCUUGUAGAGGGGGUAGGAAUUUCAGGUGUAGCGGUGAAAUGCGUAGAGAUCUGAAGGAAUACCAGUGGCGAAGGCGGCCCCUGGACAAAGACUGACGCUCAGAUGCGAAAGCGUGGGGAGCAAACAGGAUUAGAUACCCUGGUAG